CGGAGGGUGCAAGCGUUGUCCGGAUUUAUUGGGUUUAAAGGGUGCGUAGGCGGCCUUAUAAGUCAGUGGUGAAAGCCCACAGCUCAACUGUGGAACUGCCAUUGAUACUGUAAGGCUUGAGUACAGACGAGGUAGGCGGAAUUGAUGGUGUAGCGGUGAAAUGCAUAGAUACCAUCAAGAACACCGAUUGCGUAGGCAGCUUACUAGGCUGUAACUGACGCUGAGGCACGAAAGCGUGGGGAGCGAACAGGAUUAGAUACCCUGGUAGUCCACGCUGUAAACGAUGAUUACUCGAUGUUGGCGAUAAACAGUCAGCGUCUUAGCGAAAGCGUUAAGUAAUCCACCUGGGGAGUACGCCCGCAAGGGUG
This 368-nucleotide ribosomal RNA is filed under the name uncultured organism. RNAcentral's name for it is "bacterial SSU rRNA". It matches the Rfam family "Bacterial small subunit ribosomal RNA", at positions 526 to 896 of the family's 1533-position model. The record is from RNAcentral.